CCAUUCGAUAGCUCAGUUGGUAGAGCGGAGGACUGUAGAUCCUUAGGUCGCUGGUUCAACUCCGGCUCGAAGGA
Molecule: non-coding RNA, 74 nt
Organism: Sander lucioperca (pikeperch)
Lineage: Eukaryota; Metazoa; Chordata; Actinopteri; Perciformes; Percidae
Source: the annotation of a RefSeq genome assembly